Molecule: ribosomal RNA, 468 nt
Filed under: uncultured bacterium
Lineage: Bacteria
Description: partial 16S ribosomal RNA
Rfam family: Bacterial small subunit ribosomal RNA
Source: RNAcentral
GACGAACGCUGGCGGCGUGCUUAACACAUGCAAGUCGAACGGAAAGGCCCUGCUUUUGUGGGGUGCUCGAGUGGCGAACGGGUGAGUAACACGUGAGUAACCUGCCCUUGACUUUGGGAUAACUUCAGGAAACUGGGGCUAAUACCGGAUAGGAGCUCCUGCUGCAUGGUGGGGGUUGGAAAGUUUCGGCGGUUGGGGAUGGACUCGCGGCUUAUCAGCUUGUUGGUGGGGUAGUGGCUUACCAAGGCUUUGACGGGUAGCCGGCCUGAGAGGGUGACCGGCCACAUUGCGACUGAGAUACGGACCAGACUCCUACGGGAGGCAGCAGUGGGGAAUAUUGCACAAUGGGCGGAAGCCUGAUGCAGCAACGCCGCGUGCGGGAUGACGGCCUUCGGGUUGUAAACCGCUUUCGCCUGUGACGAAGCGUGAGUGACGGUAAUGGGUAAAGAAGCACCGGCUAACUACGUG